UAGGAAAAAAACUAAUUUUCC
This 21-nucleotide non-coding RNA is filed under the name Caenorhabditis elegans. The record is from RNAcentral. Lineage: Eukaryota; Metazoa; Nematoda; Chromadorea; Rhabditida; Rhabditidae.